RNAcentral lists this ribosomal RNA (1112 nucleotides) under uncultured Verrucomicrobiota bacterium. RNAcentral describes it as "bacterial SSU rRNA". It matches the Rfam family "Bacterial small subunit ribosomal RNA", at positions 364 to 1459 of the family's 1533-position model. Lineage: Bacteria; Pseudomonadati; Verrucomicrobiota. The record is from RNAcentral.
UUGCGCCAAUGGCGAAGCUGACGCAGCGACGCCGCGUGGGGGGAUGAAGUCUCGGAUUGUAAACUCUGUUAAGCGGGAAGAAAGUUCUAUCUCUAUAUAGGUAGAUAUGACGGUACCGCUAGAGAAAGCACCGGCUAACUUCGUGCCAGCAGCCGCGGUAAUACGAGGGGUGCAAACGUUAUUCGGAUUUACUGGGUGUAAAGGGUGUGUAGACGGGUUAUUAAGUUCGUUGUUAAACCCUUCCGGCCUAACCGGAAGCUCGCAAUGGAAACUGAUAGUCUUGAGGAUGGAAGAGAGAAGUGGAAUUCUCGGAGUAGCGGUAAAAUGCGUAGAUCUCGAGAGGAACACCGAUGGCGAAGGCAGCUUCUUGGUCCAUAUCUGACGUUGAAACACGAAAGCGUGGGGAGCAAACAGGAUUAGAUACCCUGGUAGUCCACGCCGUAAACGAUGAUCACUAGAUGUUGGCCCUGUUUUGCAGGGUUAGUAUCGAAGCUAACGCGUUAAGUGAUCCACCUGGGAACUACGAUCGCAAGAUUAAAACUCAAAGGAAUUGACGGGGGUCCGCACAAGCGGUGGAACAUGUGGUUUAAUUCGACACUACGCGAGGAACCUUACCUGGACUUGACAUGCUUUUGAUCGCUGUAGAAAUACAGUUUUCUAAGCUUUUGUUUAGACAGAAGCACAGGUGCUGCAUGGCUGUCGUCAGCUCGUGUCGUGAGAUGUUGGGUUGAGUCCUUUAACGAGCGCAACCCCUGCUGUCAGUUGCUAUUCAUCUUCGGAUGAAGCACUCUGAUGGGACUGCCUGGGAAACCAGGAGGAAGGUGGGGAUGACGUCAAGUCAUCAUGGUCCUUAUGUCCAGGGCUACACACGUGUUACAAUGGUCGGUACAGAGGGGUGCAAUGCCGCGAGGCGGAGCAAAUCCCAAAAAGCCGGUCUAAGUUCGGAUUGGGGUCUGCAAUUCGACCCCAUGAAGCUGAAAUCGCUAGUAAUCGUAUAUCAGCAAUGAUACGGUGAAUACGUUCUCGGACCUUGUACACACCGCCCGUCACACCACGAAAGCUAUUUGUACCCGAAGCUAUCUUAGCCAACCUGUAAGGGGGGCGGAUAGUAA